CAAGAACCAAAAAGAUUGAUUUUUUCAAGAAAAUACAAAACUAAAAACAACCCCAAGAACCAAAAAGAUCAAAUUUUUCAAGAAAAUACAAAACUAAAAACAACCCCAAGAACCAAAAGAUCAAUUUUUCAAGAAAUGAAACACUUUUUUUUUUUCAAGAAAACAGAAAAUGGAAACAACCCAACAACCAACAAGAUCAAAAUUUUCAAGAAAUGAAGCUCAACUUUUCUUUUAAUUUUUUUUUUUUGAGGGGUUUCAAAUGGCCAUGGAGACAAGAAGAAGCUAGCUCCAGAACCAAAAAAAAAAAAAUACAAGAAAGGGUUUUUUUGGUCCAAAAAUUUUGGGAAAAGAAUAGAGGGAGAGAUGUGUAGAUUCUUGGAGGAGUUGCACUGUUUUUGGAAGAGAGAUGGCAUUGAGAGAUUAAUGGUUCAAUUGGAGGUUAGGAAUUGAUGUCUAG
Molecule: long non-coding RNA, 457 nt
Filed under: Capsicum annuum
Lineage: Eukaryota; Viridiplantae; Streptophyta; Magnoliopsida; Solanales; Solanaceae
Description: long non-coding RNA (CANN_LNC014975)
Source: RNAcentral